Gopherus flavomarginatus (Mexican gopher tortoise) is the source of this 4734-nucleotide long non-coding RNA. RefSeq lists it as uncharacterized. The record is from RefSeq and is a predicted model, not a curated record. The transcript has 5 exons. NCBI's taxonomy places the organism in Eukaryota, Metazoa, Chordata, Testudines, Testudinidae.
CCAGCCUGCAACAUCCUUCCCCAACCCACAAGCCCUGUAUCCCUCAGUUCAUUCCUCCACUCAUGGGACUCCAUAGCCACAGUCUAUCUCCAACAUCCUCCAAGCUCACAACAACCUGUGCCUCUAUCCAUGCCUCCCUCCCAACACUCCCAGCCCAACACAACCUGCACCCCACUCUGUCCCUAGACCUGUGGGCCCCCAGUGCCCUUUUGUCCUUUCUCCAACAUGCAUCCCUAUCCCUACCCUACCACCCCCCUCCAUCCAUCCAUGGGGCCCCUCAGCCCUUCUCUCUCCUUCCUCCACAACACAAACCCUUCAUAGGACAUGGGCAGGGAUGCUAGGUAUACAUCCCCACAGGCCAGGUCUCGGGAGCCAUGGAGAAGUAGGAGUGGACGAAAAACAUGCGGAGUAGUGGAUGGUAAAGUGGAGUGGUGACUGGGAUCAGUCUCUGUUCAUCGAGUGGGACUGGAGAGGGAGGCAGGAAUGAGGGCAAGAUUAAAGGCACCAAUAGAGCUCUGUAUAAUGAUAGUUCUUGUUUGGCUUUAUUAGUUUGCAGAGGAAUCGUCCAGGAGCUCUAGCCAGAUAAGAAUAUGGCAGAAAUGGACCUGAGCAGCCUGGACAUCCUUCUAAAGAUACAUAAACAGUCCUCAUGUUUCUGCCUUCUGCAUCGCUGGCUUACCAAGGGAAAAGAAAUCAAACAUCAGAGUUUACUCUCCUCAUCGGAUGGAAAGCGAGCAAGAGCAGUGAGCCCGCGAGCAUUGUUGAUGUAAGUGAAGAGCCAUCCGGUUGGCAGUUGCUACUGUCAGUGAGAUACAUGUCUGGUUUCGAGAGGGCUCUGCUCAUGACCCGCCUGGCUCCAGAUAGGGCCGCCCCAUUGGCUGGGGCUGGGUUUGUGAGAAAUGCUUCCUGACCAGCUGUGCUUACGAGAGAGACAAGAUCCCCAUUUUCAGGGGCUGCUCAGUUCUCUGGCCAGGAGCGGUGUGUCCUCCACAGCAGAAGGUUGCAUCUAGGAGGAUGACUCCAGGUAGUGAAUUGCUUUCCUUCCUCCCACCUCUCUCUCUUUCUCUCCCCGCCCCCCCACAGUGUGUUGGCCAACUUUCUCACUCUCUUCCCUCUCCUCUUCUCAUGCCGUUUCCCUUCGUAAGACACGGGCAGGUGUGCUAGGUGUGCAUUCCUACAGGCUAGGUCUCGGGAUCCAUGGAGAAGUAGAAGCUGACAAUAAUCGUGCAUAGCAGUGGCUGUUGGUGUUAACUCGGUCUCUGUUGGUGGAGUGGGGCCGAGGUAGAUGGGAUUGGAGAGGAAGGCUGGGAUGAGGGCACCAAGAUUCGAAGCACCAAUAGAGCUUUGUGUAGUGAUGGCUCAUGCUUGGGUUUGCAGCUGUGUUUCCAGAGGAAUCUUCCAGGAGCCCUAGACCAAGGAGAAAGUGGCAGAAGUGGACAUGAACAGAGUAGACAUCCUUCUAAGGACACAUGAACAGUUCUCAGCUUUCUGACUCCCGCAUAACUGGCUGUGAGUAAGCGGUCAGUGGUCUGAAUUCCUCAUCUGCGCUCACUGUAGUACUCUUCACAGGCCUUGUGCUUCCUCGUUGGGUGCAGGACUCUGUGAGAUUACGUCUGGGGAGGGGCCAGAGUCUGCUGUGCGGAGUGAUUAUUUUGGGUGCUGUUGCAAGGGGUGCUUUUUGGUUGUAAUGCUAAAGGUGUGAUGGGGAGGGUUGAGGGCGGAGCUCGGUCGUGUGGGUGAGACAAAAAGAAGAGCCUAUGAGACGUUGCCUACUGAGAUGGUAACAUGCUUGUUUUUUCCCCACUUGUGCCGGGUUUAGUACCAAGGAGAAAGAAGUCAAGUGUCACAGUCUACUGCCCUCGUGCAAUGUAAAGUGAGCGAGAGCAGCGAGCCUGUGAGCACUGUUGAUGCCAGGCAAGAUCUGAGCAGAUGCCACUCUCAAUGAGAUAAGUGUCUGUCAUAACUCUCCUACUCAGAUCUGAACCUUAGAGUUCAGAACAUGAGAAGCUAGCAUGAAACCUCCAAACUUAAUUACCAGCUUGGAUCUGAUAUCGCUGCCACCAGCCAGAAUUCCAGUGUCUGGCUCACUCUGGUCUCCCCAAAACCUUCCCUGGGGAACCCCCAAGACUCAGAUGCCCUGAGUCUCACCACAAAGGGAAAUAACCCACUUCCCUUCCCCCUCUUUACCUCCUCCCAGAUUUCCCCGCCCUGGGUACUCUAGGAAUUCCCUGUUUCAAGUCCUUGAAACACAAGUACCGAGAGAUCAAUCUCUCUCUCCCCUCACCGAGAGGGUAUGCAAAGUCAGGCUUAGUAAAACUAACACAAAGAGAUUCUCUCUUCCCCCCUGUCUUCUUCCUCCCACCAAUUCCCUGGUGAGCUGCAAACACAAUCCCCUUGAGCCCCCACUAAAAAAAAAAAAUCCACAGGUCUUAAAAAGAAAGCUUUAUAUAAAAAGGAAGAAAAAGACAUAAAAUGGUCUCUGUAUCAAGGUGACAAUAUACAAGGUCAAUUGCUUAAAAGAAAAAAAUGAAUAAAUAGCCUUAUCCAAACAGAAUACAAUUUAACACAUUCCAGCAACUACACACAUGUAAAUGCAAAAAAACAAUAUAAACCUAUUGUCUUACUAUCUUUGUACUUACAACUUGGAAACAGAAGAUUAGAAAGCCUGGAGAUAGAAAGAUCACUCUCAGAGCCCAGAAAGAGAAGAGACCAAGAACAAAGGACUCACACCCAAAACUUCCCUCCACCCAGAUUUGAAAAAGUCUUGUUUCCUGAUUGGUCCUCUGGUCAGGUGUUUGGUUCCCUUUGUUAACCCUUCACAGGUAAAAGAACAUUAACCCUUAGCUAUCUGUUUAUGACAGUGUCUUGUUUGGUGAUCGCUGUGCUUGUGGCCCACCUCGGUCCUGCUAGGGCCGCCCCAUUGGCUGGGGUUGGGUUUGUAAGAAAUGCUUCCUGACCAGCUGUGCUUACGAGAGAGACAAGGUCCCCGUUUUCAGGGGCUGCUCAUUUCUCUGGCCCAGAGCAGUGUGUCCUCCACAGCAGAAGGUUGCAUCUAGGAGGAUGACUCCAGUUUGCAGAGGAAUCGUCCAGGAGCCCAACCGAACAAGAAUAUGGCAGAAGUGGACCUGAUCAGCCUGGACAUCCUUCUAAGGAGACACGAAUAGUCCUCAUGUUUCCGCUUUCUGCAUCACGGGCUAUGAGUAAGAGUACCAAGGAAAAUGAAGUCACACAUCAAAGUCUACGGCUCUGAUGCGAUGGAAAGCGAGCAAGAGCGUCGAGACUCUGACCAUUGUUGAUGUCACGCAAAAGCUGUCCAUCUGGAAGCCGAGGAGACGCUGCUGUCAGCGAGAUAAGUGUCUGGUUUGGGGAGGGCUCUGCUCACGCCCAACCCGAGUCCAGGUAGGGAAGCCCAGUACGGUAAGGCUGGGUGUGUAUGAAAAGGUUCCUGACUAGCUGUGGUCACGAGGGAGAAAAGGUCCCUGUUUUCAGAGGUUGCUCAUUUUUCUGGUCAGGAACAGUGUCUCCUGCACAGGGGGAGGCUGGAUCCAGGAGGAUGACUCAGGUGGUGAGUUGCUUGCUUUCCUCCCAUUUGUCUCUCUCUUCUCUAGUGUGUUGGCCAACUUUCUCACUCUCUUCCCUCUCCUCUCCUCGUGCCAUCUCACUUGCUAAGACACGGGUAGACGUGUUAGGUGUGCAUCCCUACAGGCUAGGUCUCGGGAUCCAUGGAGUAGCGGGAGCUGACGAAAAUCAUGCGUAGCAGUGGCUGUUGGUGUUAACUCUGUCUCUGUUGAUGGAGUGGGGCUGAGGUAGAUUGGGUUGGAGAGGGAUGCCAGGUUGAGGGCAAGAUUCGAAGCACCAGUAGAGCUUUGUGUAGUGAUGGCUCAUGCUUGGCUUUUGCAGCUGCUCUUCCAAAGCAAUUUUCCAGGAGUCCUAGACUGAGGAGAAAGUGGCAGAAGUGGACAUGAACAAUCCUCAGCUUUCUGACUCCCGCACAACUGGCUGCUCAUAUACACCCCUUGAACCAAAGGGACUUGCUCUUCACUGACUGACUAUGCCUGGCAGUGCAGGAAAUGGUCAACUGAAGGUAAUGUAUCUUUGGAUGAACUCAGGGUAAGUUUUUAAAGUGAAGAGGUCUGGUUAUGCUCGUGCUGGUUAAUCUUAAGUCUGUAUUAAUACUAUAGUUUAAUUAUAUUAGUAAAUUGUUGAAGUUGUUUAAAGAUUGUAAUAGUCAAUAGUUGAUCAAUAUAUAAUAACUGUAUGUGUUUUUGUGCCUUGCUGGGAAUGGGUACAGUGCUGGUGAACCUAGUAGCUUUGCAUGUCGCUGUGCCUGUCUUUUAUAUAAGUUACCAUCACAAAAAUCAAUAAAUGCUUAUAAGUUGUUAUAUAAAGUUAUAGGUAGGUUAAGGUUAGUAAAAUAUAGUUAGUCCAUGUAUUAAUAUUGCAUAUAGAAUUGUAUUUGUUGGGGUGGGUGCAGUACAUGUAAGGUUACUAGGCAAUCAGUAAUAGUAGCAUUGCAUGCGCUUGUAACUAUUUUCAAUAUUAUUUACCUUUUAUAUGUGCACUUAUAGGAAUAGGCAGUUAUUGCAUAAUAUUACUUGUACUUGUGCUUCUCUCCAGUAUAAUUUGCCAUUUGUAUUAAUCCUCACUCAGUGCUGGUCUUUAAUUCUGUUUUUCUUAUUCUAUCUGUGUUGCCUUUAUAGUCAUAAGUCAUUAAAAACCUUUCUGGAGGAAUAA